RNAcentral lists this ribosomal RNA (215 nucleotides) under Grammatophora oceanica. RNAcentral describes it as "partial Bacterial small subunit ribosomal RNA". It matches the Rfam family "Bacterial small subunit ribosomal RNA", at positions 202 to 394 of the family's 1533-position model. The record is from RNAcentral. Lineage: Eukaryota; Bacillariophyta; Fragilariophyceae; Rhabdonematales; Grammatophoraceae.
UCAAUUUUUACAGUUAUUAAAAGUUAAGUUUGUAAAAGAUUAGGUAGUUGGUUGAUUUAAAGUUUACCAAGCCUUUUAUCUUUAGUUGAUUUUAGAGAAUGUACAACCACACUGGGAAUAAAAAAGGUCCAGACUAUUUUUAAAUAGUCAGCAGCAAGGAAUUUUGAACAAUGAACGUAAGUUUGAUUCAGCAAUAUUAAUGAGUGAUGAAUGUA